Molecule: transfer RNA, 76 nt
Filed under: Citrobacter koseri
Lineage: Bacteria; Pseudomonadati; Pseudomonadota; Gammaproteobacteria; Enterobacterales; Enterobacteriaceae
Also listed under: 557 other names
Description: tRNA-Phe
Rfam family: tRNA
About the family: Transfer RNA (tRNA) molecules are approximately 80 nucleotides in length. Their secondary structure includes four short double-helical elements and three loops (D, anti-codon, and T loops).
Source: RNAcentral
GCCCGGAUAGCUCAGUCGGUAGAGCAGGGGAUUGAAAAUCCCCGUGUCGGUGGUUCGAUUCCGCCUCCGGGCACCA